ACCCUUUAAUGUUUGAUGUUCUAACGUGGACCCGUGAUCCGGGUUGCGGACAGUGUCUGGUGGGUAGUUUGACUGGGGCGGUCUCCUCCUAAAGAGUAACGGAGGAGCACGAAGGUUGGCUAAUCCUGGUCGGACAUCAGGAGGUUAGUGCAAUGGCAUAAGCCAGCUUGACUGCGAGCGUGACGGCGCGAGCAGGUGCGAAAGCAGGUCAUAGUGAUCCGGUGGUUCUGAAUGGAAGGGCCAUCGCUCAACGGAUAAAAGGUACUCCGGGGAUAACAGGCUGAUACCGCCCAAGAGUUCAUAUCGACGGCGGUGUUUGGCACCUCGAUGUCGGCUCAUCACAUCCUGGGGCUGAAGUAGGUCCCAAGGGUAUGGCUGUUCGCCAUUUAAAGUGGUACGCGAGCUGGGUUUAGAACGUCGUGAGACAGUUCGGUCCCUAUCUGCCGUGGGCGCUGGAGAACUGAGGGGGGCUGCUCCUAGUACGAGAGGACCGGAGUGGACGCAUCACUGGUGUUCGGGUUGUCAUGCCAAUGGCACUGCCCGGUAGCUAAAUGCGGAAGAGAUAAGUGCUGAAAGCAUCUAAGCACGAAACUUGCCCCGAGAUGAGUUCUCCCUGAGACUUAG
This 624-nucleotide ribosomal RNA is filed under the name Salmonella enterica. RNAcentral's name for it is "partial 23S ribosomal RNA". It matches the Rfam family "Bacterial large subunit ribosomal RNA", at positions 2202 to 2824 of the family's 2925-position model. Lineage: Bacteria; Pseudomonadati; Pseudomonadota; Gammaproteobacteria; Enterobacterales; Enterobacteriaceae. The record is from RNAcentral.